AGAGAGAGGGGUCGUCAACACCGUAGUCGAACUGGGGUGGUCGUCGGCAGCCUCGGGGUCUAUCGAAAAGAAGUAACGGAGGGGGAACACAAUAAAUAACAUAGCAAUCAAAGUAUCACAAAGCGUAGCAUGGCAAUACGUGGUGCUAGAGGUGACCUAACGCAGUAGGAGGUGAUACCGGGUGAAGGGGGAAACAUCCGGGAAAGUAUCCCCGGUGUUCUGUGUUUUCGGACAAAUGAACCGGAGGUGAAAUGUUGCAGGUUCACUAUGCUAGGGACGCGUGGCGGACGAACGGGCUGUGUAUCCGGAUUCGCUGGAUUUUUCUGACCAACUUUCAUGUAGAAAACAUUUUCAUCCGAGUUACCGAUCAUUUUAUAUUAAUUUUCAAAGUCUAAAUGAAUUUUAGGAAUUUUAAAAUAACUAAACCAAAUAAUUAGUAAAUGCUAUGGGUACAUAGAAGUGUACCCAACAUCUCUUACGGUGUGCAUUACACGUGGGUCCCCAGUGCUGAGUCAGCAGCUGACUCAGCCAACCUUAUCCACAUGAACAGUACAGGUGGGUCCCACAUGUAAGUGUCUCAUCCUUAUUAUUAUUUUUUUAUCCUAUUUCUUUUCUUUCUCUCUUUUUUUAUUUGACCCGGCCCCACUGGCCAGGGCACAGCCGGCCACAGGGGGAACUCUACGCACGCACGUAGCAGGAACGGCGCGGCCGGCGGCGAGCCACGGCGGGGCUCAGGCGGGGGAGGAUGGCGCUGCCCGGAGAGCCCAGGUAGGUUCGCGGGCGCGGCCAAGGGCGGUGGUAGGCGGUGACGGCCGCGCGGCCAGAGGGGAGCUGAGGGGCGCGCGCAACGGCAGCCACGGGGAGGCAGCGCGCGGUGUGGGGAUUGGUGCGGCCUUCGCGCCGGCGACUGCGAGCAGCUGGUGACGGCGGCCGGCGGGAGCUGGCGGCGCGUGGCCAGUGCGCGCCGGGCGAGAGAGGCGCGACCGACGAGCAGGGGGCAACACGCGACGGGCGCCGCGUCAACAGCAGAAGGAGCACGUACGCAGACGCUGUGCUGCGGCCAUGGCAGGCACCGGCUUGUACAGGCGACUACGGUGACGAAUCGAACGGGAGAUGAGGGGAAUCGGCAUGGGGCUCACAGCGGAGGUCGAUGGCGCGUUCGGGGAGGCACGAGAGCACAGAUCCACGAUGAGGCAGCGGUGAAGACCGACGGCCAAGACGAAGGCCACGGCGACGAGGGAGUGGCUCCCCUGCUCGAUCCAGCAGUGUAGUCAAAGGAGCAGAAGCCGACGGGGCCCGUGGACCUGCUGGCUUGACACGGGGAGGCUGUUGGCAACACGGGCGGCAAAGAAACGGCGACGGCAUGGGCGUCCAUGAGUGGAUCUGGAGGAGGGAAAAAACGAAAGGUAGAGGAAGGAGAAAGGAGUGGGUGAGUGCGGGGGUGGGAGAGGACCGAGGGG
This 1460-nucleotide long non-coding RNA is filed under the name Triticum aestivum (bread wheat). RNAcentral's name for it is "long non-coding RNA (TAES_LNC015813)". Lineage: Eukaryota; Viridiplantae; Streptophyta; Magnoliopsida; Poales; Poaceae. The record is from RNAcentral.